CCAUCCACGCCUCUCUCUCGGGACAUCAACCUUCUCCGGCAUUUCUCCGCUGCGUCUAGAGUUCUCGACUAUCUUUCUUAGCUAGGUCUCCUCUGGUAGCAACACUUUGCAGUGCAGCCUGCUCUGACCCCGGCUCUCCUGGUAAGUUUACAUGAGAUUAUUAUCACUGAACACUGGAACCUCAUACAUUUACCAACCAUUAUUAGUUUACACUCUUGUUCUUAUUUAAUACGUAUAUGAUAUAUGCCUUUUGGAUUCCAGUUCAAAAAAGGUUAUUUGUUCACAGUAUUGAUAUAUAGUUGCCCUUGCUAACAACUCUGGUGCAUGCAGAACUAUCGAUAUCGAUAAUUCCAUCUUCUCUAUGGAGACGGUUGGCAUAUCUGCAGCGAGCUGGGUGGUUGGCAAAGCACUGAGCCCACUGUCUGGUGGUGUGCUGGAGUUGUGGGCAGCCAGCACCAAGCUCGGGUAUAACAUCGAGAAUCUAAAGCUGGAGCUGUUGCAGGCUCAGGCAAUGUUGAACACUGCCGAGGGCAGGGAGAUCCACAACCCCGCCCUGGCUGAGCUGCUAAACAAGCUGCGGCAGCUGGCCUAUGGGGCCGACGAUGUGCUGGACGCGAUCGACUACUUCCGCAUCCAGGAUGAGCUCGAUGGCACGUACCAUGCUGCAGACACGCAUGCUGCUGGCUGUGUCCAGGACCUCGCCCUCCAUGCUCGCCACAUGACCAAAGCUUGUGGGAACAAACUCAAGUUUCCUGUGUGCACGCGUGCUACCAGGCGUCCCGAUCCUGAUGAGCAAGACGGCGAUGGCAAACAAGGAUGCCUCUCAGGUCUCCGCUUUUGUGGUGGUCGGCGUGAGGUUAACUCCUCACUACCGACACCCACCAAACAGCUGGGUGUCGAUGAGGUUCAUGGCAGAUGCAUGCCUAAGGCUGCCCACAAUGUCGGUAAACACUUUUCUUGCUUCUCCUCCUUACCCUCUAUCGACCAUGAUGCUCAGACCGAAGUGGUGGAAAAUCACCCCUUAGAAAUACCAAAACUGAAGUUUGACAGGGUGGAAAUGUCUAGAAAGAUAUUGAACAUCAUAGAGCAGUUGAAGCCUGUAUGUGCUAAGGUCUCAACCAUUCUUAAUCUAGAGUUACUGAACUCUAGCCGUGCCUCUACCCAAGACAUUGCCACGAACAGACCCAAAACUACCCCACAAAUUAUAGAACCUAAGUUAUAUGGAAGGGAUAGCCACAAAAAGAUUGUCCUCGAUGAAAUUGCUAAUAGUCAAUGUUGUGAACUCACUGUGCUUCCAAUUGUCGGCCCAGGAGGUAUUGGAAAGACAACUUUCACACAACACGUAUAUGAACAAGCGAAGAGUCAUUUCCAAGUCCCCAUCUGGAUUUGUAUCUCUUUUGAUUUUAAUGCGAAUAGGUUGGCAAAAGAUAUCGUGAAAAAUAUCCCCAAAUUUGACAAUGAAAAGAGUGAUUGUAGUGAUGAAGAGCUUAUCGUGCAAAGGAUAAAAGGAAAAAGGGUUUUACUUGUGUUAGAUGAUGUGUGGACACAUCAUGAGGAUGAGUGGAAAAAAUUGUUAUCCUUAUUCAAAACCGAGGGUGCAAAAGGUAGCAUGGUUAUAGUCACGACUCGAAUACCCGAGGUAGCAAACACGGUUAAGACAACUAAAUGCUCACUGGGAUUGGAGCAUCUAUGUCCUAAAGAUAUUAUGUCUUUCUUUGAAGAUUGUGUAUUUGGUGACCAAGAACCAUGGAUUCACCAUCCAGAACUAUCUGAAGUUGGGAGCAAAAUAGUGGACAAGCUGAAGGGUUCCCCUCUUGCAGCAAAAACUGUUGGUAGAUUAUUAAGAAACAAACUUACAUUAAACCUUUGGACAAGCGUUCUGGAAAGUAAAGAAUGGGAAUCACAAAACAAUGACAAUGAUAUUAUGCCAGCUUUAAAACUCAGCUAUGAUCAUCUUCCAUUCCAUCUACAACAAUGUUUUUCUUUUUGUUCUUUAUUUCCUGAAGAUUAUGAAUUUGGUAGCGAAGAGUUGGUUCACUUGUGGAUUGGACUGAAUAUUUUGAAGAUGUUGGAAUGUGCUAUUUAAAUUACUUGGUAACCCAUGGAUUUUUCAAAAUGAAUAAAAGGGAAGAACGUUCUUAUUAUGUUAUCCAUGACUUAUUGCAUGAGUUGGCAGUGAAGGUUUCAUCGCAUGAAUGUCUUAGCAUCUAUAGUUCUAACGUAAGGUAUAUACAAAUUCCCCCAUCUGUGCGUCACUUGUCUAUAAUCACGGAUAACAAAGAUGUAAAUGACAGAAUGUCUUUUGAAGAAUACGACAGAAAUUUAAGUGCACUAGCUAAACGAUUGAAAGUUGAACACCUGCGUACUUUAAUGUUAUUUGGUGAAUACCAUGGAAGCCUUGUCAAAACUAUUGGUGGUUUAUUUAGAGAAGCUACAGCCCUUCGCGUCAUAUUUUUGUCUGAAGCAUCAUAUAAUUUGGAGGACCUAUUGCACAACUUUUCAAAACUUGUCCAUCUUCGUUACCUAAGGAUUAAGCCAGUGUAUUACUUGGACGUGUGCUUACCAAGCGCGUUGUUUAGAUUGUAUCAUUUAGAGGUCAUUGAUGUGCAAAGUGUGCAACACUACGUUAGUUCAACUAGACAUAUGAGCAACCUUAUAAAACUGCAUCAUUUUCUGGUGCCAGAAAAAAAAACUUCAGUUUCAGUCUGACAUUUAUGGGGUGGGAAAACUAAAAUUCCUCCAGGAAUUAAGAGAAUUUAGAGUGGGAAAGGAGAGUGAUUGUUUUGAACUAAGUCAGCUCGGAACAUUGACGGAGAUUGGAGGAUCACUUGGCAUAUAUAAUCUUGAAAAUGUGCAGACAAAAGAGGAAGCAAGUGAGUCAAAACUCGCACAGAAGAACCACAUAAGAGAACUCAUACUAGAAUGGGAUGUGAUGCGACCUAAUGUGGAUCCUGUAAAAGAAGAAAAUGUUCUUGGAAGCCUUGUACCACAUGGCAAUCUUCAAGAGCUAUGCAUUAGAGGGCACGGGGGCACUAAUUCCCCAUCAUGGCUAUAUGAGAAUCUCUCAGUUAAAUGUUUGGAAUCUCUUUGUCUGGAUGGUGUAUCUUGGAAAACUCUUCCACCUCUGGGAGAGAUGUGGAUGGUUAAUGAGCUUGAUGAAGAGUAUCAGGGUUGUAGCCUCUCACCUCUAAGCUUCCAUAACUUGAGAAGGCUACAAUUAAGUAACAUAUCUAGGUUGAAAAAAUGGGUUGGAAAUGGCGCUUGUCCUUUCUUUUCUUACUUGGAAGUGCUCAUAAUUAGAGGAUGUUCUGAACUUUUGGAGUUUCCAUUUUCACAUUCUACUUGCUAUGAAGCACGAAUGGAGGAGAAAAUGGGUUGGUUUCCUAGGCUACGGGAGAUGGUCAUUGUCGACUGCCCGAAACUAGCAUCAGUGCCUUCUAUCCCUUGGCGGACUAGUACUCCGUGUUGUGCUGAGAUAGUAAGAGCAGGAUCAGGUUUUGAAAAGCUGGUUUACCACAAAAGGUACGAAUCAAAACUAAGCUUGGAAAUUGAGGGAAAGGGUGGUCAAUAUGAUGGGUUGUGGAGUGGGUUGAAUUUCUCUAAUCUAACUGAUCUAGAGGAGUUGUACGUGAACAGAGUCCCUCCCCUGCCGCUGGAUAACCUCCGAGUGCUAGCAUCUCUAAAGAAGAUCGUGAUAGAGGGUGCCAGCAGUUUCUUGUUAUCGGUUGGAGAUGCUACUGCUAGGCAUGGCGUAUACCGGUUUCCAGUUGAAGAACUCAGGAUCAGUAACUGUGAUACGAAAGGAAAAGAAUUGACAUUGCUGCUCUCUUUUCUUCCGAACCUAUCAAAGUUGGAUAUGAAUAGGUGUGAGAAUAUAACUGGGUUGGGUGUGGUAGAGCAUGCAGAAACUGUUUCUGGAGAGCAGCAGCAACAGACAAGAGACGAUGAGGAAAUAAUAACAGCGUCAGCAGCAGGAGUACUUCUAUUGCCUCCCCAGCUACAGGAAUUGCGGAUUUCAGAUUGCCCAAAGGUGAGCUUAUUAUUCUCCAAUCCACUGCACGACAACGACCAGCACGCCACAACAGAAGCAGGGCUCCAACGUCUCCGCUCCCUUAGCCACUUGGAUGUGAGUGGCUGCCCCGAGCUCCUCUCCUCCUAUUCAUCCUUAUCCUCCUCUGUUUUCCCUUUUCCAACCUGCUUGCAAGUCCUCUGCCUACGGAGCGUGAAGCACAUGGAGACGCUGCAAGCCCUCUCAAACCUCACCUCUCUCACCGAAUUAUACUUGUAUGCAUGGGAGCAGGGUUUAAGAGAUGAGGGCUUAUGGACUCUCCUCGCCCACGGCCGCCUCACACGAUUAACCCUCUAUACUCGCUCCAACUUCUUCGCCGGAUCCAAUCCCUCAUGGCCACAUGACAAAGAGGGGUAUUCCCGUUCCUCCAAGCCCUUGGUUCUGAAUACGAAAUACAACACAGGAGUCCUUGCUGCGCCCAUCUGUAGCCUCCUCUCUUCCACCCUCACAGUACUAUUCCUCUUAUUCGGCCACGAGGUGGAAUGCUUGACAAAGGAGCAAGAGGAGGCCCUUCAGCUCCUCACCUGCCUCUAGGACCUCCGACUUUUUGGGGGAUACAAGCUGCAGCACCUCCCUGCAGGGCUACACAAGCUUAUCAACCUCAGGGAAUUAAGGGUCAUAUGGUGUUCGGCCAUCCUGUCGUUGCCCAGCCUUCCGAGCUCUCUGCGGGAAUUAAAGAUCGAGUGUUGCGGUGCCAUCAAGUCUCUGUCGAACGGCCUCCCGAGUUCUUUGGAAAUAUUGAAUAUCUGCCGCUGUGAUGCCAUCAAGUCGCUGCCCAAGGACAGCCUUCCAAGUUCAAUGCGAGAGUUAGAUGUCCAUCUUGGCAACAGCAAGGAGCUAAAAAGGGACUGCCGCAAGUUUAUAGGAACCAUCCCAAUUGUGAGAACUUGACCAAUCCAAGGGUUCUUCUUCAACCUGCAUAUUCUGUUAGCCUCCUACAGUUCUCUCUGUAUAAUUACGAGCAAGGCUCCCACUUGCCAGUGCAAGCAUGAUGAUCUCAGUUUGUUUCUCCCAUCCUGCAUGCAAAGCUGUGAGCAGGUUGGGCCAUGGAGUUGUCAAUUCUUCCAUCUUUGUAAAAUUCUCUGCGUUGAUACAAGGUUCCUUCAUCAUCAAAGCCUUGAGUGGCAUCUCCUUAUGAGCAUGAAUUGAUAAUUAAUUAAUUAUGGGAUCCAUCUAGGAGUUUUAGCCUUGUAAAAUUAUCUCCAUGCACACACAGGUGGCACUUCAGGGUCUUGUGUGGUAUUUCGUCCUAUAUGAAAAGUCCAUAAAUCUGGUUAGUGUGCACAAAUCCAAUCUGUUCUAUCGUAUAGCUAAUACCAUUUCAAAGUUUCUUUAUCUCCCUCCCUGGAGGAAAUUUUAUUUUAUUUUUGUGCAGGAGUCUUUAUGCUAAUUCUGGUUGGAUUAUAGAUACUUUCCGUUUACAUUUUGGUCAUCUCUCAUGAUGACUUGAUGGUGUGCUCGGCUUAUUCGGCUGUGAGGGUUAACAUAUCACCAUCACCAUGGCAUAAUGGUGGAAGAAAUGAGAUCCGGAACUUUACAAUAAUACCCCUUGUCGUAUGAUAUCAGUGCUUGUGUGCAGCCAAUCAGAUCUCUGGUCGUUAUUAAUUGAUGUGGCAUGCGGCACAACUUUGGAAAUCAACAAUGGAGUAGGCACAUGUUUGUGAAGUUGUAACACUUUUGUACCCACAGAAGGUCAGCAACCCCUUGCUGAAAUUCAUGAUCAAUUUAGCUAUGCUAGAUUGUAUUGCAAUGUGCAAUUGUCAAACACUUACUGCCUCAUGAGACCUAGGCUAGAGGAAUUGAUACUUUCUGGAUAAGUUGGUACUCUAGCUUUUGAGCACGCUCAUAAUCUCUGAAUUCAUUGCCAUUCUGAAUUAAAUAACACAAGAGAGUUUUCAGCUGAUACAUAUAGUCGUAAAGGUAGAGAACACUUGUUACUAGGUGAUUGAUGAACAUUGAUUGAACAAAAAGACUCGAGCUUGCUAAUUUUUAUUCAUAGAACCUCCUGAGUUAAGUAUGGUGAAGGUGAUUUUAUUCUCUUCUUGAUCUGUAGUAUUUUUUCUAUCCCACCAAUGCCAAAAGCAGAGCAGAUUUCAUGAGCCUUGAUUAUUGCAAUCUGAAUAUUUAGUGUGUAUUGUUAAGUUCGAUGUUCCUCUAGUCUGAAGUCUUUGAAAGCCAGUCAUUCCUUUGCCGUAACUUUAUGUUUGCUUGCCUCUUCAACACUCGGCAUUGCAUUCCUUCAUCAGGAUAUCACAAAAUCUCAGAAAUUAAACCAUUUCUGUCAUUUGUUCACACCAUACCUACCUAUAUAGCGCAUCACUCACUAUUCCAUAGUAGUUGAUUAUUCCAUAAGCACAGUCAUCAAAGUUUGAGAAGACUCAAAAGCGUUUUAUUAUCAACGCUGCAAAAUUCAUUAUUAUGAAGAUUCAAGAGCUAUAUUCAUCAGCAGUGGCCUCUCUCUCACAUACUGAAAAAACAAGAAGAGAGGAGCACCAUUUCAAAAGAUUAAAGGGUUCAUUUUCAAGCAGGACGGAAUAGCCAGCAGUGCUUCCAUUUUCAUGUGCUACAUAUGCAAUAUCGAUAACAGGAACAUCACUCGCAUCCUGGGAUCACCUUACAUUGCAUUGGCCUCUCAAAUAAUUUCCUUGGUGUGAGUCCGUUUCCUCCCACAUGCCUUGGACCCUACAAUUUUUUCCAAUGACUGGAAUGUGAAGACUUCUUUUUAUGCUGAGUUGAACUCUUAUUUAGCUUUACAAUCUAGAUUUCAGAUUUGCUCAUUCUUUGAAUUACCCAACCAAGCUCCAGAUAAGCUUUCCACAAAUAUAAAGUAGAUAGAACACUUCGGCCACUGGCCAGUGAGGACUAUAAUUAUGUGAUGAGAGUAAUUCCGGAUCAUGACGAGGUAAUUUCGCUAGAUACCUGCUCUUGGAAGGUUCACAAAGGAAUAAAAUUGUUGGCUGCUCUUGUCUUCCUUUGUUCUUGACAUUGAAGUCAAACCUCCUAGUUACCUGUGUUCAAAACUUGAUCGCUAUAUUGUUGAUGCUGUUCACUCUCAUAAAAUGGAACCCAUUCCGUACUGGCAAUGAAUAGGAGUUGUUAUUUAAGCUUGUGCUCAAUUCUUAGCCUGCUACUUUAAUAUGUUUGCAGUAAGUGCCUCGACCCAAAGUUUACGAGGAUUACAGUAAUUGUUUGCACGUGAGCACUUGUUUGCAAUCUCGCUAUGCUAAGCUUUCAGGUAUUUCACAAGCAUGUGGGCAAGUUGAAUCAGGAGCCUAAGUCCUCUGACGUGCCAUUUGCCGCAAUCUGAGACCUUUCUUUCUCGAGGGAAGAAUCGGAAAGGGAGAAGGCUAAGAUGAAUCAUAGCUUUUGUUUCUCUUUGAAGCCACUUGCUUCCUAACAAUGUUAUAAGGAAGAGAGAAUGGGGUUUCCCCGAUUGUUAUUUCCCUUCUAGCUUCAGUCUGUAGUAGGCUGUCGAUGAAUGGUACAAAAACAUGCGGACUCUUUCAUCUGUUCUUUAAGUGUGGACAUCAACAUUCAGUGUAAUGUGCAAUAUCUUCAUAUAUGAAUCUAUGCUUGCAUGUCA
RNA transcript from Triticum aestivum (bread wheat), 7652 nucleotides. It is a transcript of the gene named putative disease resistance protein RGA4, with no coding region annotated. The transcript has 6 exons. NCBI's taxonomy places the organism in Eukaryota, Viridiplantae, Streptophyta, Magnoliopsida, Poales, Poaceae. The record is from RefSeq and is a predicted model, not a curated record.